GACAGGGGAUGCAAGCGUUAUCCGGAAUGAUUGGGCGUAAAGCGUCUGUAGGUGGCUUUUUAAGUCUGCCGUCAAAUCCCAGGGCUCAACCCUGGCCAGGCGGUGGAGGCUACUAAGCUGGAGUACGGUAGGGGCAGAGGGAAUUUCCGGUGGAGCGGUGAAAUGCGUAGAUAUCGGAAAGAACACCAAGGGCGAAGGCACUCUGCUGGGCCGAAACUGACACUGAGAGACGAGAGCUAGGGGAGCAAAUGGG
Molecule: ribosomal RNA, 253 nt
Filed under: uncultured bacterium
Lineage: Bacteria
Description: partial 16S ribosomal RNA
Rfam family: Bacterial small subunit ribosomal RNA
Source: RNAcentral